RNAcentral lists this ribosomal RNA (644 nucleotides) under Farysia taiwaniana. Its description in RNAcentral is "eukaryotic LSU rRNA". It matches the Rfam family "Eukaryotic large subunit ribosomal RNA", at positions 38 to 663 of the family's 3401-position model. Lineage: Eukaryota; Fungi; Basidiomycota; Ustilaginomycetes; Ustilaginales; Ustilaginaceae. The record is from RNAcentral.
GCAUAUCAAUAAGCGGAGGAAAAGAACCUACCAAGGAUUCCCCUAGUAACGGCGAGUGAAGAGGAAAGAGCCCAAGAUUGAAAGCUGGCGUCUUCGGCGUCCGCAUUGUAAUCUCAAGAAGCAUUUUCCGCUUCGGACCAAGCCUAAGUCCCUUGGAAAAGGGCAUCGUAGAGGGUGAGAAUCCCGUACAUGGCUUGGAGCGCCCGAGGCUUUGUGAUAUGCAUUCUAAGAGUCGAGUUGUUUGGGAAUGCAGCUCAAAAUGGGUGGUAAAUGCCAUCUAAGGCUAAAUAUUGGGGAGAGACCGAUAGCGAACAAGUACCGUGAGGGAAAGAUGAAAAGAACUUUGAAAAGAGAGUUAAACAGUACGUGAAAUUGCCAAAAGGGAAGGGUAGGAGGUCAGAGAUGCGGCGUGGGAUUCAGCCUUGCUUUUGCUUGGUGUUUUUCCCUCAUUGCAGGCCAACGUCGGUUUUGGGCACUGGAGAAUGGUGAGAGGAAUGUGGCACCCUUCGGGGUGUGUUAUAGCCUCUCACUGGAUACAGCGACCGGGACCGAGGAACGCAGCGUACUCGAAAGAGCGGGCCUUCGGGCACCUUUACGCUUAGGGCGUUGGCAUAAUGGCCCUCUACCACCCGUCUUGAAACACG